CUCAGGACGAACGCUGGCGGCGUGCCUAAUACAUGCAAGUCGAACGCGUCUCCGUUGAUGAUUUUAGGUGCUUGCAUUUGAAAGAUUUAACAUUGAGACGAGUGGCGAACUGGUGAGUAACACGUGGGUAACCUGCCCUUGAAGUAGGGGAUAACACUUGGAAACAGGUGCUAAUACCGUAUAACAACCAAAACCACCUGGUUUUGGUUUAAAAGACGGCUUCGGCUGUCACUUUAGGAUGGACCCGCGGCGUAUUAGCUUGUUGGUAAGGUAACGGCCUACCAAGGCGAUGAUACGUAGCCGACCUGAGAGGGUAAUCGGCCACAUUGGGACUGAGACACGGCCCAAACUCCUACGGGAGGCAGCAGUAGGGAAUCUUCCACAAUGGACGAAAGUCUGAUGGAGCAACGCCGCGUGAGUGAUGAAGGGUUUCGGCUCGUAAAACUCUGUUGUUGGAGAAGAACAGGUGUCAGAGUAACUGUUGACAUCUUGACGGUAUCCAACCAGAAAGCCACGGCUAACUACGUGCCAGCAGCCGCGGUAAUACGUAGGUGGCAAGCGUUGUCCGGAUUUAUUGGGCGUAAAGCGAGCGCAGGCGGUUUUUUAGGUCUGAUGUGAAAGCUUCGGCUUAACCGGAGAAGUGCA
RNAcentral lists this ribosomal RNA (645 nucleotides) under Lentilactobacillus buchneri. RNAcentral's name for it is "bacterial SSU rRNA". It matches the Rfam family "Bacterial small subunit ribosomal RNA", at positions 23 to 625 of the family's 1533-position model. Lineage: Bacteria; Bacillati; Bacillota; Bacilli; Lactobacillales; Lactobacillaceae. The record is from RNAcentral.